AACUGUUAUUGGCCUUUCAUUUAACUUGAAGCCAUGAAAUGUUCCACCUGUGCUAAAUUUGGUACAUGAAUAUAAGCAACAUAGUUGACUGUAAAACAUUAUUUAUUAUUCAUUUAAUGCAUUAUUUCUGGGCUUCAAAUUCUAAAAUAUAUAAAGUCUCUAACCCCCUUAAUAGUUUUCAUCAUAGUCUUUUGACUCUUCUCCAAUUGCUACACUAAUCAAUUAAUCACUCAAGCGAGCUGUCAUUGCCACUUAUAGGGUCCGAAAUUGACUGAAAACAACUAAUGGCAAUGGGUCGGCGUGUGAGGAGCGAUGGUAAACGAAGAAGUGGCGGGCGAGAUAGAAGAAACACUAAAUAAAUGCCAUUAGCGAAAAAAGAGAGACCACUUUCAAAUCAUCCAUCGAGAUGGGGCCUGGCGCCUCGAGACAGAGAAGGAAAAGGAGUACUUGUUUUUUUUCGUUCAUCAAUGCCAUACAAAGAAGUACGGUAGAAGUAGUAUUUAGGAAAAAGGAGACGAUGAGUUGAAGAACACGUGGCCAUAGAAAGGGGGAGAAGAUUUGGCU
Molecule: non-coding RNA, 564 nt
Organism: Caenorhabditis elegans
Lineage: Eukaryota; Metazoa; Nematoda; Chromadorea; Rhabditida; Rhabditidae
Source: Ensembl